Non-coding RNA from Podarcis lilfordi (Lilford's wall lizard), 70 nucleotides. NCBI's taxonomy places the organism in Eukaryota, Metazoa, Chordata, Lepidosauria, Squamata, Lacertidae. The record is from the annotation of a GenBank genome assembly.
GGUAAUAGCUCAAUGGUGGGGCAUCUGCUUCAUAUGCAGAAGGUCCCAUGUUCAAUCCUUGGCAUCUCCA